GUGCUUGCUUUGGCAGCACAUAUACUAAAAUUGUAACAAUACUCAGAAGAUUAGAAUGGCCCCUGUGCAAGGAUGACAUGCAAAUUUGUGAAGCAUUCCAUAAAAAA
This 107-nucleotide small nuclear RNA is filed under the name Dasypus novemcinctus (nine-banded armadillo). Lineage: Eukaryota; Metazoa; Chordata; Mammalia; Cingulata; Dasypodidae. The record is from RNAcentral.